CCAAGGCCAAGUUCCUCCUGUGGCUCCCCAGAGGCGGGCUCACUGGCCCUGGGUACGGCUGAGCCACGAGGCCAGGGUCAGCAGAGGCAGCUGGAGCAGGCAGGAAGAGUUGGAGUAAAGUGACUUUCAACUAGUCCCCCUCCAGCCCCAUAAAGGUGGUCUUUUAAUCCGGAUGGUUGUGGUCAAAAGCAGGAUGGAGGUUGAGUGCUGGGACCAAUGCGAGCCAGCCAAAGCAGUGAGAUAUCAUCACCGUUUCAUUAACUAGAUCUCUCUGUGUCUGAGCAGAGUGACUGUGCAGGAAGAACGCAGGUUUCCUGCAGCAGCAGGAGCUGGAGGAAUAACAGCAGUGACAAGUCAAAUAUGAGGAAGCUGGUCAGAAUGCUGGCCAAGUAAUAAUUACAUUUUGAUUAGGUAAUAAUGUUAAAUAAUAUUAUUAUGGUCUGUCCUGUAAGUAGCAUGAAUAGUUGAAGAGCAAACAAAAACAUUAAAUAACUUGAAGUUGCAUAUUGAAACUAUGAUAUUGACUUGGUGACUGACUGGCUGUUUUUUAUUUCAUGUAUUUUCAAAAGGAGUUAGUCAAAAACAAAAGUUGAUAUGUGAGCACACACACACAU
This is a long non-coding RNA of Thunnus maccoyii (southern bluefin tuna), 614 nucleotides long. RefSeq lists it as uncharacterized. Lineage: Eukaryota; Metazoa; Chordata; Actinopteri; Scombriformes; Scombridae. The record is from RefSeq and is a predicted model, not a curated record. The transcript has 3 exons.